UUAGGAACAUUUCCUACAAUUGGGUAAUCUUGUCGUAUGCUCAUGAUGUUCAAAAUCCUUUUGAAUUUUGGGAAUCAUAGUUCCUAACAUGAGGCAAGAGGCUUGCAUAGUAUCCUCGAUAUACUUAAUCCAAUCGUUAUAGGCAUCCUUAUCUUCCAUAAGAUAUUCAUCGGGAUUAGGAUCGUUUUCAGUGAUAGGUUACGGACGGUUUGGGUAAUAUUGUUAGCGGCCAUCUACAAAAUUUAACAAGGUUCAAAUUUUAGUAUUUUCGAUAUUAUUAUAUUUUAAUUAUUAAUACCCUUUUAUGUCUCAUAGACAAUUAAUAAUUAAAAAUCUAGAAUCCAACGUUACAUUUAAAUAUCGGUUAGGUGACCUUUAUCCCUCUAUUUAAAUUAACAAGGUACUCAACGUUUGACAAUUGCAACCCUUUGCAACUUCUAUGUGACACCUGUGUCACUCCAACCAUCAAACAAAUGCCAAACCAAGGAAAUAUUGUAUCUCAUACUUGGGAUUUGUAUAAAUAUGUACAUAUGGGAUCAGUUAAACAUCUUUAUGUUUAG
This 560-nucleotide long non-coding RNA is filed under the name Helianthus annuus (common sunflower). RNAcentral's name for it is "hypothetical non coding rna". The record is from RNAcentral. Lineage: Eukaryota; Viridiplantae; Streptophyta; Magnoliopsida; Asterales; Asteraceae.